RNAcentral lists this ribosomal RNA (396 nucleotides) under uncultured bacterium. RNAcentral describes it as "bacterial SSU rRNA". It matches the Rfam family "Bacterial small subunit ribosomal RNA", at positions 56 to 497 of the family's 1533-position model. The record is from RNAcentral.
UGCAAGUCGAUCGAAGUAGCAAUACUUAGUGGCAGACGGGUGAGUAACAUGUAGGUAUCUACCCUUUGGCCUGGAAUAACACGAGGAAACUUGUGCUAAUACCGGAUAAGUCUUUACGGAGAAAGCUUUAUGCACCAUUGGAUGAGCCUGCACUUGAUUAGUUUGUUGGUGGGGUAAUGGCCUACCAAGACUGUGAUCAAUAGCUGAUUUGAGAGGAUGAUCAGCCACAUUGGGACUGAGACACGGCCCAAACUCCUACGGGAGGCAGCAGUGGGGAAUCUUGCACAAUGGAGGAAACUCUGAUGCAGCGAUGCCGCGUGAGUGAAGAAGGCCCUUGGGUUGUAAAGCUCUUUCGUCGGGGAAGAAAAUGACUGUACCCGAAUAAGAAGGUCCGGC